GGGGAAUGGUGUUUACGUUAGUCUCUGGUUAAAGCUAAAGGGUAAAAGUAGCGCUUGGAUGAAGAAAAGAGAUGUCCUGGAGUUCAGGGCUGUCCGUGUUUGAGGAAAUUAAACGAGUGCCUUGAACCCAGGAGAAAAGCUGACUGCCCUUGUCCGCGAAUCUACAGUCUCCAUCGACUCCCAGAGGAUAAGGAAGCAAAAAUUAAUUGGUUAAAAAAUCUAAACCUUAAAAAGCCCCCAAAGACGGAUGUUUAUUUUCAUUUCGUGGAGAAAAUGUCUCUUGGUUACGACAGACCACCAGCAAAGAGAAGAGGCCGCCUCGUCAGGAGAAUGCAGAUAAAUGCCACAGAUUGACGAUGGUGUUCUGUUUGAGGAGAAAGACCCACAAUGCCGUUCUGCUACCUCCUGCGGAGGAGUGGAUGGAGACGAGGAAGUUGGCUGAGAUGAGGAAGAUGCAGCUUCCUGGGACCUCCUGGCGGUGCUAGUUGAGAUUAAAAAGAUCUGAAACAAGACAAAUAUUCAGCACUGAGAGAUCAAAGCGGCGGCCUCCUCGUCUUUCACAGAAGUGGCGUUUCAUAAGCGGCCAAAAACAUUUUCAGAGGAACUUCAUCGCUUGAUGUUCGGGACACGGAGGCAGGAGGGACGGAGCGGCAUCGAGGUCCAGGAAAUGAAAGGGUGAAGGCAUUCAUGUCUGGUAGAAACAUGGAAAUAAUCUGAUCAACUGUGUCCUGCUGAGGGAUUCGCUCGUUCUGAUUUCACUGACUAGCAUCUGUAACGUGUCGUCGUUCGCUGGUACCUGGGGUCUGUCCGGCAGAGGUGCGUCAGGCGGGUCUUGAUGGCCCCUGUGGGCUCCAGCAGGUAGAGGCAGCUGUGGACGUGGGCCCUGACCCCCUCCGCCUGGACCUCAGGGCACUCAGUGGACGUGGAGGACAGGUACAGAGGCCCGCGGGACGGAUCGGCCUGCCAGGUUCUGACCAGGAGAAGAACAGAACAUGUUUACAGCGAGGAAGAGUUAUUUUUAAUCCGUAAAGCUGAUA
Molecule: long non-coding RNA, 1037 nt
Organism: Fundulus heteroclitus (mummichog)
Lineage: Eukaryota; Metazoa; Chordata; Actinopteri; Cyprinodontiformes; Fundulidae
Exons: 5
Source: RefSeq, a predicted model, not a curated record